RNAcentral lists this unclassified non-coding RNA (336 nucleotides) under soil metagenome. Its description in RNAcentral is "partial contains 5.8S ribosomal RNA, internal transcribed spacer 2, and large subunit ribosomal RNA". The stretch from base 1 to 120 matches the Rfam family "5.8S ribosomal RNA", at positions 35 to 154 of the family's 154-position model. The record is from RNAcentral.
GAUGAAGAACGUAGCGAAAUGCGAUAAGUAGUGUGAAUUGCAGAAUUCAGUGAAUCAUCGAAUCUUUGAACGCACAUUGCGCCCCUUGGUAUUCCAUGGGGCAUGCCUGUUCGAGCGUCAUUUGUACCUUCAAGCUUUGCUUGGUGUUGGGUGUUUGUCUCGCCUUUGCGUGUAGACUCGCCUUAAAAUAAUUGGCAGCCGGCGUAUUGAUUUCGGAGCGCAGUACAUCUCGCGCUUUGCACUCAUAACGACAGCGUCCAAAAGUACAUUUUACACUCUUGACCUCGGAUCAGGUAAGGAUACCCGCUGAACUUAAGCAUAUCAAUAAGCGGAGGA